CAUGGCCAAGGCAGGUGGAGCGC
Molecule: microRNA, 23 nt
Filed under: Callithrix jacchus (white-tufted-ear marmoset)
Lineage: Eukaryota; Metazoa; Chordata; Mammalia; Primates; Cebidae
Description: cja-miR-9940
Source: miRBase by way of RNAcentral